GGGAGUAUAGCCAAUCGGUUAAGGCACGUGACUGUCUAUCACGCAUUAGAGGGUUCGAUUCCCUUUAUUCCCGCCA
Molecule: transfer RNA, 76 nt
Filed under: Pseudomonas viridiflava
Lineage: Bacteria; Pseudomonadati; Pseudomonadota; Gammaproteobacteria; Pseudomonadales; Pseudomonadaceae
Description: tRNA-Asp
Rfam family: tRNA
About the family: Transfer RNA (tRNA) molecules are approximately 80 nucleotides in length. Their secondary structure includes four short double-helical elements and three loops (D, anti-codon, and T loops).
Source: RNAcentral